GCUUGUCUCAAAGAUUAAGCCAUGCAUGUCUUAGUGUAAAUAACUCUUAUGAAACUGCGAAUGGCUCAUUAAAUCAGUUAUCGUUUAUUUGAUGGUCCCUUACUACAUGGAUAACCGUAGUAAUUCUAGAGCUAAUACAUGCACAAAGGCCCGACUCACGGAGGGCUGUAUUUAUUAGAUUCAAACCAACACUUUUUGGUGAUUCAUAAUAACUUGUCGAACCUCAUGCCUUUAUGGUGGAGGUGAUUCAUUCAAAUUUCUGCCCUAUCAACUUUCGAUGGUAAGGUAUUGGCCUACCAUGGUUACCACGGGUAACGGGGAAUUAGGGUUCGGUUCCGGAGAGGGGGCCUGAGAAAUGGCCACCACAUCCAAGGAAGGCAGCAGG
RNAcentral lists this ribosomal RNA (385 nucleotides) under Plagioselmis nannoplanctica. RNAcentral's name for it is "partial small subunit ribosomal RNA". It matches the Rfam family "Eukaryotic small subunit ribosomal RNA", at positions 30 to 432 of the family's 1831-position model. Lineage: Eukaryota; Cryptophyceae; Cryptomonadales; Cryptomonadaceae. The record is from RNAcentral.